AUGUCACCCUGACAUCCUGUCUUUUUCCCCAGAUCGGACCCAGCACAGGCAGCGUCAGUGCAAACUCCCCCCACCCCGCCUUCCACCGAUGUGUGUCAACCCAGCCCCUGGAGGGACCAUCUCUCGGGGUAAGAGAGGAGCCUGGUCUCCAACACCUGUUUGGU
This 164-nucleotide small RNA is filed under the name Phascolarctos cinereus (koala). RNAcentral's name for it is "TUC338 (ENSPCIG00000013489.2)". The record is from RNAcentral. Lineage: Eukaryota; Metazoa; Chordata; Mammalia; Diprotodontia; Phascolarctidae.